Molecule: long non-coding RNA, 202 nt
Filed under: Vigna radiata
Lineage: Eukaryota; Viridiplantae; Streptophyta; Magnoliopsida; Fabales; Fabaceae
Description: long non-coding RNA (VRAD_LNC010381)
Source: RNAcentral
CGCAAGCCCCCAGGAUACAACAUGAACUUUCCAAAAAUUUCUGAGGAUCUUAGAACUACCAAGGAUCUUAAAAAGAGUAUAAAAUAAAUCAGGAUUUUCUUAGGAAGAAAGAGAGAAUGAGAGAAAGAGAGGAUGAGAGAAAAUGUUUUGGUGUAUUUUGGAGUGAAACAAAUGCUCUAUUUAUAGAGUUGAUGGACCAGGC